AUGCAUGCUUUUACAGUAUGAAAAUUGGUGAUUUAUAAUAACUUAGCAAAUCGCAAAGUGAAAACAGGCGAUAAAUCAUUCAAGUUUCUGACCUAUCAGCUUUCGACGGUAUGGUAUUGGCUUACCGUGGCAGUGACGGUUAACGGGGGAUUAGGGUUCGAUUCCGGAGAGGGAGCCUGAGAAACGGCUACCACAUCUAAGGAAGGCAGCAGGCGCGCAAAUUACCCAAUUCUAACAGUUUGAGAGAGGUAGUAACAAGAAAUAACAAUACAAGGCAGUUAAAAUGCUUUGUAAUUGGAAUGAUAGAAAUUUAAACCCUUUUUAAAGUAUCAAUUGGAGGGCAAGUCUGGUGCCAGCAGCCGCGGUAAUUCCAGCUCCAAUAGCGUAUAUUAAAAUUGUUGCAGUUAAAAAGCUCGUAGUUGAAGUUCUGCUAAAAGUAACCGGUCUGCUUUGAAUAAAAGUGGUAUCUUGGUAUGUAUUUAGCAAUGAUGUCCUUUGAAGUGUUUUUUACUUUAUUGUAAUAAAGCAUAUUCAGGACUUUUACUUUGAGAAAAUUAGAGUGUUUCUAGCAGGCCAACGCUUUGAAUACUGCAGCAUGGAAAUAAUAAG
Molecule: ribosomal RNA, 609 nt
Filed under: Hepatozoon canis
Lineage: Eukaryota; Apicomplexa; Hepatozoidae
Description: SSU rRNA
Rfam family: Eukaryotic small subunit ribosomal RNA
Source: RNAcentral